RNAcentral lists this ribosomal RNA (208 nucleotides) under uncultured bacterium. Its description in RNAcentral is "partial 16S ribosomal RNA". It matches the Rfam family "Bacterial small subunit ribosomal RNA", at positions 1293 to 1500 of the family's 1533-position model. The record is from RNAcentral.
UCGGAUUGUAGUCUGCAACCCGACUACAUGAAGCUGGAAUCGCUAGUAAUCGCGGAUCAGAAUGCCGCGGUGAAUACGUUCCCGGGUCUUGUACACACCGCCCGUCACACCAUGGGAGUCGGAAAUGCCCGAAGUCUGUGACCCAACCGUAAGGAGGGAGCUGCCGAAGGUGGAGCCGGUAACUGGGGUGAAGUCGUAACAAGGUACC